RNAcentral lists this transfer RNA (72 nucleotides) under Marmota monax (woodchuck). It matches the Rfam family "tRNA". Rfam says of the family: Transfer RNA (tRNA) molecules are approximately 80 nucleotides in length. The record is from Rfam by way of RNAcentral. Lineage: Eukaryota; Metazoa; Chordata; Mammalia; Rodentia; Sciuridae.
GGUGUUGUGGCUAAGUGGUAAAGCAUUUGCAUAGCAUGCAUGAGGCUCUGGGUUCUAUCCCCAGCACCACAU